AAUUGGAGGUGGAGAAACCUAAUGGGAAUCUCUUAGUAAUGGCGAAUGAAAAGAGAUGUGCUUAGUGUCAAAAUCAGGGUUUCCCUGACUUGUAGGCUGUAGGCGCUAUGCCAACUUGGGUGCAGGUGCAAGUCUCUUGGAAUAGAGCACCAGUGAGGGUGAGGGUCCCUUCUGUCAUCUGUCAUCCCUUGUAGACGGUUUGCGUUCUGAGAGUCGUGUUCUUCUGGAAUAGAGCGCCAAGUGGGUGGUACUCUUUGCCUAAGGAGCAUUACAUACUUGAGACCAAUAGUGAACAAGUACCAUGAGGGAAGGAUGAAAAGGACUUUGGAAAGAGGGUUAAGAGGACAUGAAGCUGCUGGAAGGGAAGUGGAUUGGACUUCUGUCUGUGGCAAGAUUGCAGGUUGCACUACUCUCUGAGGAACUGCGACUUGUGUUUCUUGCUACUUAGUGGGAUUCUGUGUGGUGUCCACAAUCUAAGCUUUACUUGGCAAAAACCUGCUGGUUGCUCCAUAGUUUAGCUUUCUGUUGGCACUACAUAAUUCUUCCACUAAAGAGUUCAAUUUUACCCGUCUUGAAACACGGACCAAGGA
RNAcentral lists this ribosomal RNA (590 nucleotides) under Amphidinium thermaeum. Its description in RNAcentral is "LSU rRNA". It matches the Rfam family "Eukaryotic large subunit ribosomal RNA", at positions 48 to 672 of the family's 3401-position model. The record is from RNAcentral. Lineage: Eukaryota; Dinophyceae; Amphidiniales; Amphidiniaceae.